This 987-nucleotide ribosomal RNA is filed under the name Saurenchelys fierasfer (blacktail buckbill eel). RNAcentral describes it as "partial 16S ribosomal RNA". It matches the Rfam family "Bacterial large subunit ribosomal RNA", at positions 1283 to 2789 of the family's 2925-position model. The record is from RNAcentral. Lineage: Eukaryota; Metazoa; Chordata; Actinopteri; Anguilliformes; Nettastomatidae.
UAGAAGAAAUAAUGCUAAAAUUAGUAAUAACAGGGCCCAAAGCCCUCUCCCUGCACAUGUGUAAGUCAGAUCGGACUAACCACUGACAGCUAACGGACCCAAAAAUGAGGGAAAAACAACAUGAAACAGAAAACAAGAAAAUCUUGUAAAACCUACCGUUAACCCAACACAGGAGUGCCCCAAGGAAAGACUAAAAGGAAAAGAAGGAACUCGGCAAACAUAAACCCCGCCUGUUUACCAAAAACAUCGCCUCUUGCUAACAAAAUGUAUUAGAGGUCCCGCCUGCCCUGUGACCACAAAGUUUAACGGCCGCGGUAUCCUGACCGUGCGAAGGUAGCGUAAUCACUUGUCUUUUAAAUGAAGACCUGUAUGAAUGGCAUAACGAGGGUUUUACUGUCUCCUUUUCCCAGUCAAUGAAAUUGAUCUAUCCGUGCAGAAGCGGGUAUAAGAACAUAAGACGAGAAGACCCUAUGGAGCUUUAGGCCAAGGAUCAAACAUGUUAAGAGACCCCAAAAAUCUAUUAGAAUAUCAAAAAGUCACAACAAACCAAAUGUAAACUGAUCUAAGUGCCUUCGGUUGGGGCGACCACGGGGUAAAGAAAAACCCCCACAUGGAACGGAAACAUUCCUAAACUAAGAAAAACAUCUCUAAGUAAUAGAAAAUCUAACCAAAAAUGACCCAGGGCACAAGCCCCUGAUCAAUGAACCAAGUUACCCUAGGGAUAACAGCGCAAUCCUUUCCCAGAGCCCAUAUCGACGAAAGGGUUUACGACCUCGAUGUUGGAUCAGGACAUCCUAAUGGUGCAGCCGCUAUUAAGGGUUCGUUUGUUCAACGAUUAACAGUCCUACGUGAUCUGAGUUCAGACCGGAGUAAUCCAGGUCGGUUUCUAUCUAUGAAAUAACUUCUUCCCAGUACGAAAGGACCGGAAAAAGGGGGCCCAUACUUAAAGCAAGCCCCACCCCUACCUUCUGAAAACAAAUAAAAAAA